CCUUUACUAUAGCUUGACACUGAACAUUGAGCCUUGAUGUGUAGGAUAGGUGGGAGGCUUUGAAGUGUGGACGCCAGUCUGCAUGGAGCCGACCUUGAAAUACCACCCUUUAAUGUUUGAUGUUCUAACGUGGACCCGUAAUCCGGGUUGCGGACAGUGUCUGGUGGGUAGUUUGACUGGGGCGGUCUCCUCCUAAAGAGUAACGGAGGAGCACGAAGGUUGGCUAAUCCUGGUCGGACAUCAGGAGGUUAGUGCAAUGGCAUAAGCCAGCUUGACUGCGAGCGUGACGGCGCGAGCAGGUGCGAAAGCAGGUCAUAGUGAUCCGGUGGUUCUGAAUGGAAGGGCCAUCGCUCAACGGAUAAAAGGUACUCCGGGGAUAACAGGCUGAUACCGCCCAAGAGUUCAUAUCGACGGCGGUGUUUGGCACCUCGAUGUCGGCUCAUCACAUCCUGGGGCUGAAGUAGGUCCCAAGGGUAUGGCUGUUCGCCAUUUAAAGUGGUACGCGAGCUGGGUUUAGAACGUCGUGAGACAGUUCGGUCCCUAUCUGCCGUGGGCGCUGGAGAACUGAGGGGGGCUGCUCCUAGUACGAGAGGACCGGAGUGGACGCAUCACUGGUGUUCGGGUUGUCAUGCCAAUGGCACUGCCCGGUAGCUAAAUGCGGAAGAGAUAAGUGCUGAAAGCAUCUAAGCACGAAACUUGCCCCGAGAUGAGUUCUCCCUGAGACUUAGAGUCUCCUGAAGGAACGUUGAAGACGACGACGUUGAUAGGCCGGGUGUGUAAGCGCAGCGAUGCGUUGAGCUAACCGGUACUAAUGAACCGUGAGGCUUAACCUUACAAC
This 838-nucleotide ribosomal RNA is filed under the name Salmonella enterica. RNAcentral describes it as "partial 23S ribosomal RNA". It matches the Rfam family "Bacterial large subunit ribosomal RNA", at positions 2098 to 2925 of the family's 2925-position model. The record is from RNAcentral. Lineage: Bacteria; Pseudomonadati; Pseudomonadota; Gammaproteobacteria; Enterobacterales; Enterobacteriaceae.